GGGUAUAUAGCUCAGUUGGUGAGAGCGCACGCCUGAUAAGCGUGAGGUCCCUGGUUCGAAUCCAGGUAUACCCA
RNAcentral lists this transfer RNA (74 nucleotides) under Clostridiaceae bacterium BRH_c20a. RNAcentral describes it as "tRNA-Ile". It matches the Rfam family "tRNA". Rfam says of the family: Transfer RNA (tRNA) molecules are approximately 80 nucleotides in length. Their secondary structure includes four short double-helical elements and three loops (D, anti-codon, and T loops). Lineage: Bacteria; Bacillati; Bacillota; Clostridia; Eubacteriales; Clostridiaceae. The record is from RNAcentral.